CCUCGAACAAUGCGAAGAACACAAAAGUAUGUGCAAUUCAUCAUCUUCUCCAAUGCUGAGUCGCAACCAGUGCCUGAAAAGCACGGACGAGCCAUAUAUAACGAAACUUGCACGUGUGACUCUGGCCGGGGAUCCUGCUAUGCUGUACUAAUAUGGGUAGGUUCCUGUAAUUCGAGACAAAUAGGAAAAAAUCACUGGGCAUAUGCUUCAUCCAAGACUCAUUCAUAAGCAAAUAUGCAAUCUUGAUAUCUGCUCUCUGUAGAAAGCUUUGCCAUCUGAAA
This 281-nucleotide long non-coding RNA is filed under the name Nicotiana benthamiana. Its description in RNAcentral is "long non-coding RNA (NBEN_LNC001595)". The record is from RNAcentral. Lineage: Eukaryota; Viridiplantae; Streptophyta; Magnoliopsida; Solanales; Solanaceae.